AAUGAACGCUGGCGGCAUGCCUUACACAUGCAAGUCGAACGGCAGCAUGACCUCGCUUGCUAGGUUGAUGGCGAGUGGCGCACGGGUGAGUAAUGCAUCGGAACGUGCCUUUUAGUGGGGGAUAACGUAGCGAAAGUUACGCUAAUACCGCAUAUUCUCUGAGGAGGAAAGCAGGGGACCUUCGGGCCUUGCGCUAGAAGAGCGGCCGAUGUCGGAUUAGCUAGUUGGUGAGGUAAAGGCUCACCAAGGCAACGAUCCGUAGCGGGUCUGAGAGGAUGAUCCGCCACACUGGGACUGAGACACGGCCCAGACUCCUACGGGAGGCAGCAGUGGGGAAUGUUGGACAAAGGGCGCAAGCCUGAUCCAGCCAUGCCGCGUGAGUGAAGAAGGCCUUCGGGUUGUAAAGCUCUUUCGGCUGGGAAGAAAUCGCACCCUCUAAUACAGGGUGUGGAUGACGGUACCAGCAUAAGAAGCACCGGCUAACUACGUG
This 490-nucleotide ribosomal RNA is filed under the name uncultured bacterium. Its description in RNAcentral is "partial 16S ribosomal RNA". It matches the Rfam family "Bacterial small subunit ribosomal RNA", at positions 29 to 507 of the family's 1533-position model. The record is from RNAcentral.